Molecule: long non-coding RNA, 623 nt
Filed under: Dendronephthya gigantea
Lineage: Eukaryota; Metazoa; Cnidaria; Anthozoa; Malacalcyonacea; Nephtheidae
Description: uncharacterized LOC114544082
Source: RNAcentral
AUUGGGUGUAUCAAUGUUCAUGUAAUCCUGCCAGGAGUAAAAUAAUAAACUCACUUCACAUCAGUAUUAAAGAACAUUACAAUCAACAACUAUUGGCUGACAAUCCAGCAUGUGUACAUUGCUUGGUGACUGAGCGUAUUUUAGACAGCCUUGAAUGUUUUAAUGGCAGUCUUCCAUUUCCUAUUGAUCCAGAAGAAAGUGACCCUUCAUCAAUGGACCAUGACUAUCUUGAACAUUACCAGUCUUACAACGUUUUCCAUUUGCCGUCAGUUGAAGUAGUUUGCGUAUAUGCUGAGCGUGAUUACGGGUUUGUUGGCAUAGAUCAUAAGGGUUUCAAGUGCUCCACAUGCAAUUAUGAUACACAUGCUUGUAGUCACAUCAAAUUUCUGGAAGAAAAACUCAGUCAGGAUGAUGUUGAUUUGCCUGACAUUGUGUAUGAAAUGUAUCACCAAGCAAAAAAGCAGCGGAAAGUUAAUUGGAAACCUUAUUGCCUAUCCGAUAAAUCCAUACAGUUCCAGCCACCAGUACACCUUCAACAGAUAUUUGGUAGUUCGUUUUACCAAUCCCUACCACAGGAAAAUGGAACAUUGCAUGUUGUCCCACGUAGUAGCGGAGUAUGUGAA